ACAGAACCCUUCGGGGUGAAGAUGAAAUGGAUUAGCGGCGGACGGGUGAGUAACACGUGAGUAACCUGCCUUUGACAUAGGGAUAGCCUCGGGAAACUGGGAUUAAUACCAAAUGAAACUACACUACCGCAUGGUAGAAUAGUCAAAGAGAUUCGGUCAAAGAUGGACUCGCGGCUGAUUAGCUAGUUGGUGAGGUAACGGCCCACCAAGGCGACGAUCAGUAGCCGGCCUGAGAGGGUGAUCGGCCACAUUGGAACUGAGACACGGUCCAAACUCC
This 277-nucleotide ribosomal RNA is filed under the name uncultured Eubacteriales bacterium. RNAcentral's name for it is "uncultured Clostridiales bacterium partial 16S ribosomal RNA". The stretch from base 40 to 277 matches the Rfam family "Bacterial small subunit ribosomal RNA", at positions 100 to 339 of the family's 1533-position model. Lineage: Bacteria; Bacillati; Bacillota; Clostridia; Eubacteriales. The record is from RNAcentral.